GACGAACGCUGGCGGCGUGCUUAACACAUGCAAGUCGAACGGAAAGGCCCUGCUUUUGUGGUGUGCUCGAGUGGCGAACGGGUGAGUAACACGUGAGUAACCUGCCCUUGCCUUUGGCAUAACUUCAGGAAACUUGGGCUAAUACCGGAUAGUAGCUCCUGCUGCAUGGGGUGGGUUGGAAAGUUUCGGCGGUUGGGGAUGGACUCGCGGCUUAUCAGCUUGUUGGUGGGGUAGUGGCUUACCAAGGCUUUGACGGGUAGCCGGCCUGAGAGGGUGACCGGCCACAUUGGGACUGAGAUACGGCCCAGACUCCGACGGGAGGCAGCAGUGGGGAAUAUUGCACAAUGGGCGGAAGCCUGAUGCAGCAACGCCGCGUGCGGGAUGACGGCCUUCGGGUUGUAAACCGCUUUCGCCUGUGACGAAGCGUGAGUGACGGUAAUGGGUGAAGAAGCACCGGCUAACUACGUG
Molecule: ribosomal RNA, 468 nt
Filed under: uncultured bacterium
Lineage: Bacteria
Description: partial 16S ribosomal RNA
Rfam family: Bacterial small subunit ribosomal RNA
Source: RNAcentral